This 93-nucleotide transfer RNA is filed under the name Bacillota bacterium. Its description in RNAcentral is "tRNA-Ser". It matches the Rfam family "tRNA". Rfam says of the family: Transfer RNA (tRNA) molecules are approximately 80 nucleotides in length. Their secondary structure includes four short double-helical elements and three loops (D, anti-codon, and T loops). The record is from RNAcentral. RNAcentral also lists the same sequence under 1 other name. Lineage: Bacteria; Bacillati; Bacillota.
GGAGAGAUGGCUGAGUUGGUCUAAGGCGCACGACUGGAAAUCGUGUUCGGGGCUAACCCCCCGACUAGGGUUCGAAUCCCUAUCUCUCCGCCA